GGGGCACUUGGAGGUAUCUUGGACAUGAGUAUCUGCCUUGCAUGCAGAAGGUCCUGGGUUCAAUCCCCAGAGGCACCU
Podarcis lilfordi (Lilford's wall lizard) is the source of this 78-nucleotide non-coding RNA. NCBI's taxonomy places the organism in Eukaryota, Metazoa, Chordata, Lepidosauria, Squamata, Lacertidae. The record is from the annotation of a GenBank genome assembly.